AACGAACGCUGGCGGCAUGCCUAACACAUGCAAGUCGAACGAAGUCUUCGGACUUAGUGGCGCACGGGUGCGUAACGCGUGGGAAUCUGCCCUUGGGUGCGGAAUAACUUCUCGAAAGGGAUGCUAAUACCGCAUAAUGUCGUAAGACCAAAGAUUUAUCGCCCAAGGAUGAGCCCGCGUAAGAUUAGCUAGUUGGUGGGGUAAAAGCCUACCAAGGCGACGAUCUUUAGCUGGUCUGAGAGGAUGAUCAGCCACACUGGGACUGAGACACGGCCCAGACUCCUACGGGAGGCAGCAGUGGGGAAUAUUGGACAAUGGGCGAAAGCCUGAUCCAGCAAUGCCGCGUGAGUGAUGAAGGCCCUAGGGUUGUAAAGCUCUUUUACCAGGGAUGAUAAUGACAGUAUCGGGAGAAUAAGCUCCGGCUAACUCCGUGCCAGCAGCCGCGGUAAU
This 450-nucleotide ribosomal RNA is filed under the name uncultured bacterium. RNAcentral describes it as "bacterial SSU rRNA". It matches the Rfam family "Bacterial small subunit ribosomal RNA", at positions 29 to 524 of the family's 1533-position model. The record is from RNAcentral.